GCAAGUCGAACGGUAACAGUUCUUUCGAGAAGCUGACGAGUGGCGCACGGGUGCGUAACGCGUAUGCAACCUACCCUAUACAGGGGGAUAGCCCAGAGAAAUUUGGAUUAAUACCCCAUAGUACUAUCAGAUGGCAUCUGAAGAUAGUUAAAGAUUUAUUGGUAUAGGAUGGGCAUGCGUUAGAUUAGUUAGUUGGUGAGGUAACGGCUCACCAAGGCGACGAUCUAUAGGGGUUCUGAGAGGAUGAUCCCCCACACUGGCACUGAGAUACGGGCCAGACUCCUACGGGAGGCAGCAGUAGGGAAUAUUGGUCAAUGGGCGAGAGCCUGAACCAGCCAUGCCGCGUGCAGGAAGACGGCCUUCUGGGUUGUAAACUGCUUUUAUAUGGGAAGAAAAAGGUCUUGCGAGACAAAUUGCCGGUACCAUAUGAAUAAGCACCGGCUAACUCCGUGCCAGCAGCCGCGGUAAUACGGAGGGUGCAAGCGUUGUCCGGAUUUAUUGGGUUUAAAGGGUGCGUAGGUGGGCCUUUAAGUCAGUGGUGAAAGCCUGCAGCUUAACUGUAGAACUGCCAUUGAUACUGGAGGUCUUGAGUAUAGAUAAGGUAGGCGGAAUUGAUGAUGUAGCGGUGAAAUGCAUAGAUAUCAUCANGAACUCCGAUUGCGAAGGCAGCUUACUGGUCUAUAACUGACGCUGAGGCACGAAAGCGUGGGGAGC
RNAcentral lists this ribosomal RNA (714 nucleotides) under uncultured bacterium. RNAcentral describes it as "bacterial SSU rRNA". It matches the Rfam family "Bacterial small subunit ribosomal RNA", at positions 57 to 769 of the family's 1533-position model. The record is from RNAcentral.